GAUGAACGCUGGCGGCGUGCUUAACACAUGCAAGUCGAACGAAGCACUUUACUGAUUUCUCGGAACUGAUUGUACUGUGACUGAGUGGCGGACGGGUGAGUAACGCGUGGAUAACCUGCCUCACACAGGGGGAUAACAGUUGGAAACGGCUGCUAAUACCGCAUAAGCGCACAGCACCGCAUGGUGCAGUGUGAAAAACUCCGGUGGUGUGAGAUGGAUCCGCGUCUGAUUAGGCAGUUGGCGGGUAACGGCCCACCAAACCGACGAUCAGUAGCCGGCCUGAGAGGCGACCGGCACAUUGGGACUGAGGACACGGCCCAGACUCCUACGGGAGCAGCAGUGGGGAAUAUGCACAAUGGGGAAACCCUGAUGCAGCGAC
This 379-nucleotide ribosomal RNA is filed under the name uncultured bacterium. RNAcentral describes it as "bacterial SSU rRNA". It matches the Rfam family "Bacterial small subunit ribosomal RNA", at positions 28 to 395 of the family's 1533-position model. The record is from RNAcentral.